This 468-nucleotide ribosomal RNA is filed under the name uncultured bacterium. RNAcentral's name for it is "partial 16S ribosomal RNA". It matches the Rfam family "Bacterial small subunit ribosomal RNA", at positions 28 to 507 of the family's 1533-position model. The record is from RNAcentral.
GACGAACGCUGGCGGCGUGCUUAAUACAUGCAAGUCGAACGGAAAGGCCCUGCUUUUGUGGGGUGCUCGAGUGGCGAACGGGUGAGUAACACGUGAGUAACCUGCCCUUGACUUUGGGAUAACUUCAGGAAACUGGGGCUAAUACCGGAUAGGAGCUCCUGCUGCAUGGGGGGGGUUGGAAAGUUUCGGCGGUUGGGGAUGGACUCGCGGCUUAUCAGCUUGUUGGUGGGGUAGUGGCUUACCAAGGCUUUGACGGGUAGCCGGCCUGAGAGGGUGACCGGCCACAUUGGGACUAAGAUACGGCCCAGACUCCUACGGGAGGCAGCAGUGGGGAAUAUUGCACAAUGGGCGGAAGCCUGAUGCAGCAACGCCGCGUGCGGGAUGACGGCCUUCGGGUUGUAAACCGCUUUCGCCUGUGACGAAGCGUGAGUGACGGUAAUGGGUAAAGAAGCACCGGCUAACUACGUG